CAAUUGUGUUAAAUAAUUGUUUUCAUGUUUAAAUCUGGAAUUUAUUUAACAGAAACUGGAACUUGUCAUAAGCAUAAAUCAACUGAUGAAGAUGUUGUUUUAUUUACACAUUACAUCAUUUCAAGCAGAGUCAUUGAUAUUGGAUUAUAUAUUCUCACUCACUCAAUCACAACCUGUCUGUCUACACAUUACACCGCCAGCAAACCCACCAGAGUUCUACAUGAAGACACGCGUCUCUCUACAUUCUCUUCAUCAUCCCU
This 260-nucleotide long non-coding RNA is filed under the name Lotus japonicus. Its description in RNAcentral is "long non-coding RNA (LJAP_LNC000823)". The record is from RNAcentral. Lineage: Eukaryota; Viridiplantae; Streptophyta; Magnoliopsida; Fabales; Fabaceae.